Molecule: long non-coding RNA, 3176 nt
Filed under: Sus scrofa (pig)
Lineage: Eukaryota; Metazoa; Chordata; Mammalia; Artiodactyla; Suidae
Description: lncRNA (ENSSSCG00070017534.1)
Source: RNAcentral
UCCCCGCCCUCCGCCCCCUCCGCCCCUCCCCGGUCCUCACGCAGACACAUUCAAGCCUGCUCCUCCUCUUCCCCCUCCUUGACCCCGCGCCCGCUCGGCGCGCCGAGGCCCCACCCACCCGGCGAGGGGAAGGGGGCCCGGGCGUGAUGUCACCGCCGCCCUCCCCGCCCGCGCUCGCGGGGCCGCCCCGCCGCCCCCCCUCCCGGGCGCCCCGCGCGCCCGGGCUGCGUCUGCCGGCUCCCCUCGCCUCCCACCCGCCUCUCCGCUCCCCUUGCUCCCGCGCCCAGUUUGGGCUCCGCUUUCUUCUUUCAGGGCCUCUCGGAUCACAACCCCCGCCCCCCCUUGGCUCGCCCGCUCCUGCUGGCCAGCCUGCAGGCGUCUCUUCGUUUUGCAGUGUACACCACCUGAAUCUGUAACCCCAAAGAGGAGUUCCCACGGGGGGGAACAAAAGAAGAAAAAGAAAGCGAACCCCGGUGGCGCUCCCAAAUCCACCCUUCCCAGGGGUCGGCUCCACUGCCUUGGUCAUCGGCUCACAUCACCCGGCGGCAGACAAGGCUCAGCACUUCCUUGAGUUUCCGUGAAGCGAAGCCACAUGCCUUUACCAAAUCCGCCACGCUCCUGAAAACAUUUCGAGUUUGCUGGUUUUGCUGCAAAUAAUCCAUGGACACAAAUGGCCUCACUUUGAGCACCAAGACGUUAGACACGAUGACACUGUGGAUUUUAAUAAGUCAGCUUGGAUUCUCAGUGGAAUAGCGGGACCUGAUGGUGCCUUUGGAAAGCAGUUUCAGCUCCUGUGGGAGCCGUGCAAGGAAGAGAAGAAAAGAGAAGCCUGUGUUUUACGAUGCUUUCUUGCCCUGGAAUUUCAGAUGCGUCGGCACAGGGCCUGGCCUAUAGUGUGUCUGCGGUCCGUGUUCCCGUACCUGUACUUCCCCAUUUUUAUCCACUUAUUGCCAUCUUCAUCGGUUGUAAGGGCACCGUUCAGUGGUAUCAAGUAUCUUCACAUUGUUAGGACUUUUGCAUCUUGCACACCUGAAACUCUGUGCCCUGUUAAACAACUCCCCGUUUCCCCUGGCAACUGCCAUUCUGCUUUUUCUCUCUGUGAUUCCAUGUACUCUCAGUGCUUUAUAUAAAUGGAACCAUACAGUGUCUGUCUUUUUUUUGUCUGCCAUGUUUCACCCAGCAUAAUGGCCUCAGGGUUCAUCCGUGUUGAGGCAUGGGUCAGGAUAUUUCCUUCCUUUUUAGGGCUGAAUAGUAUGUUAUUGUAUAUAUACAUCACAUUUUUCUUUAUUCAGUCCUCUAUUUUUUUUUUCCUUUUUGCUUUUUAGGACUGCACCUGCGGCAUGUGGAAGUUCCCAGGCAAGGGGUUGAAUCAGAGGUACAGCUGCCAGUCGACGCCAUAGCCAUAGACACUGAGGAUCCAAGCCACAUCUGUGACCUACAUCACAGCUCAUAGCAACACUGGAUCCUUAACCCACUGCGUGAGGCCGGGGAUUGAACCCACAUCCUCCCUUCAUUGGGUUUGUUACUGCUGAGCCACAAGGGGAAACCCCUAGGGAAGGAUUCUUGGGCCACUUUUGCCUCGUGCAAAUAUCUCUCUGAGACCCUGCUUUCAAUUCUUUUUCUUUUUUUUUUUCUUUUUGGCUGUGCCUGCAGCAUGCAGAAAUUCCUGAGCGGGGUAUUGAACCCCUGCCAUAGCGGCAGUCCAAGCCACAGCAGUGACAGUGCUGGAUUCUUAACUGCUAGGCCACCAGAGAACUCCCAGUUCUUUUGGGUAAAUACGCAGAAGUAGAAUUACUGGGUCAUAUGGUAAUUCUAUUUUUAUUUAUCUAAGGAGCUGCUAUAAUGCUACACUGCUUUCACAGCAGCUGCUCCGUUUUACAUUCCCACAAACUGUACACAAAAUCUCUGGUUUCUCCACUUUCUUGCUAACCCUUCAAACCUUGUUAUUUUCUGUUUUGUUUUGUUUUAACCUAGUAGUCAUCCUCAUGGGUGUGAGGUGAUAACUCAUUGCGAUUUUUUUUUUUUUUCGGCCAAGCCUGCAGCAUGCGGAAGUUCCUGGGCCAGGGAUUGAACCCGCACCACAGAGUGGACCAAGCCUCUGCAGCGGCAACGUUGGAUCCUUAACCUGCUGCGCCACAAGAGAACGCCUCAUUGUGAUCUUCUUUAAAUUUAUUUCUUUUUAUUUUUUAUUGAAGUAUAGUUGAUUUUAAUGUUUCAGAUACACAACAGAGUGUGUUACACAUGUGUGUUUGUGUGUAUAUGUGUAUAACACAUACAUUCAUGUACAUACAAUCUUAAUAAUCAGUAAAGAAAAGAAUACCUUUGUGUAGCCUGCCAAGAUCAGGACGAAAAUUUGGUAUUUUCCUCUCCAUCCCACCCUUGCUUUUUAAACCAUCAAAAAUGUAACACUAGUACCCCAUUACUGGCAAGGGUGCCAUGAACUGGGACUGUCAGCCAUGGUGAUUAGCAACACGUUAAUCUGCCAAGAACCUGUUUUGGAAAGACACGUGGCUGUGUGAGCUGCCCCUGCAGACAGACUGAUGUGAACCCAGUCCCCUCCCCGUCCACAGAGGGACCUGGGGUCAAGUACUCACCUUCUCUAAGGCUGAAUUUCCUCUUCCGUUAAAGCGAACAUGAUAAUGAUGCCUGAUUUAGAAGAGUCCUUGUUUAGGACUAAGAAGAAAAUAAUUACUACAGGGAUUCUAAAUUAAGAAACAAACAGGGAGUUCCCGUUGUGGCGCAGUGGUGAACGAAUCCGACUAGGAACCAUGAGGUUGUGGGUUCGAUCCCUGGCCUCGCUCAGUGGGUUAAGGAUCCGGCAUUGCCGUGAGCUGUGGUAUAGGUUGCAGAUGCGGCUCGGAUCCCGUGUUGCUGUGGCUGUGGCAUAGGCCGGUGACUACAGCUCCAAUUGGACCCCUAGCCUGGGAACCUCCAUAUGCUAUGGGAGCAGCCCUAAAAAAGACCAGAAAAAAAAAGAAACAAACAAACAAAUCAAGAAAAAAAAGUAUGUAUUUUAAAUCACUCAUAUUUUAAAAAUUUGGAAAUCACUUAAAUGUCCACCAAUAAGAGCCAUUGAGCAUAUGACCGAACAGCUUUUUGGUAGAAUGUUUCGCAGCCAUUAAACGAACACUUACGAAGAUUAUGCAGCAAAUAAAAAGAACAUAAAUACCUAAACA